RNAcentral lists this ribosomal RNA (460 nucleotides) under uncultured bacterium. Its description in RNAcentral is "partial 16S ribosomal RNA". It matches the Rfam family "Bacterial small subunit ribosomal RNA", at positions 338 to 795 of the family's 1533-position model. The record is from RNAcentral.
CCUACGGGUGGCAGCAGUGAGGAAUAUUGGUCAAUGGACGAGAGUCUGAACCAGCCAAGUAGCGUGAAGGAUGACUGCCCUAUGGGUUGUAAACUUCUUUUAUAUGGGAAUAAAACGUUCCACGUGUGGGAUUUUGUAUGUACCAUAUGAAUAAGGAUCGGCUAACUCCGUGCCAGCAGCCGCGGUAAUACGGAGGUUCCGAGCGUUAUCCGGAUUUAUUGGGUUUAAAGGGGGCGUAGGUGGAUUGUUAAGUCAGUUGUGAAAGUUUGCGGCUCAACCGUAAAGUUGCAGUUGAAACUGGCAGUCUUGAGUACAGUAGAGGUGGGCGGAAUUCGUGGUGUAGCGGUGAAAUGCUUAGAUAUCACGAAGAACUCCGAUUGCGAAGGCAGUUCACUGGACUGCAACUGACACUGAGGCUCGAAAGUGUGGGUAUCAAACAGGAUUAGAUACCCCAGUAGUC